AGUGAACGCUGGCGGUAGGCCUAACACAUGCAAGUCGAACGGCAGCACAGUAAGAGCUUGCUCUUACGGGUGGCGAGUGGCGGACGGGUGAGGAAUACAUCGGAAUCUACUUUUUCGUGGGGGAUAACGUAGGGAAACUUACGCUAAUACCGCAUACGACCUACCGGUGAAAGCAGGGGAUCUUCGGACCUUGCGCGAUUGAAUGAGCCGAUGUCGGAUUAGCUAGUUGGCGGGGUAAAGGCCCACCAAGGCGACGAUCCGUAGCCGGUCUGAGAGGAUGAUCAGCCACACUGGAGCUGAGACACGGUCCAGACUCCUACGGGAGGCAGCAGUGGGGAAUAUUGGACAAUGGGCGCAAGCCUGAUCCAGCCAUACCGCGUGGGUGAAGAAGGCCUUCGGGUUGUAAAGCCCUUUUGUUGGGAAAGAAAAGCAGCAGGUUAAUACCCCGCUGUUCUGACGGUACCCAAAGAAUAAGCACCGGCUAACUUCGUG
This 492-nucleotide ribosomal RNA is filed under the name uncultured bacterium. RNAcentral describes it as "partial 16S ribosomal RNA". It matches the Rfam family "Bacterial small subunit ribosomal RNA", at positions 29 to 507 of the family's 1533-position model. The record is from RNAcentral.